Molecule: long non-coding RNA, 1530 nt
Organism: Oncorhynchus kisutch (coho salmon)
Lineage: Eukaryota; Metazoa; Chordata; Actinopteri; Salmoniformes; Salmonidae
Exons: 3
Source: RefSeq, a predicted model, not a curated record
AUUACGUAGAAUAUACAUUAACGUUACUCAAAUUGACUGGCCAUCUCGGCGAAAAAUGUGAUUUGACAUUUGUUCAGAAGAGCUGAGCACCUAUCAGAUCCUCUGCUGUCCUUCACCCCUUGGUGCAGUCUGCUGACCAUCGCUGGGGCCAGGAAAAAGUCUGUCAACCGAAGUAGGAGCCAAGUGUAUCACCAUGCAACACUCUACCGAGGUUCCGGGUGAUCUCCCAUCUUCUUCAUAGUGGCCUCGGCUGGACUCCACUGGUCAGCUGGAAACCCACCGCAUAACCUCUAUCCAGGUGAAUCAAGAGCUUCACCAGAGACGGAAGAGGAAGCGAGACAUCCUGGCCUUCCUACGUCACCGCCUUAUCUGCUUGUUGCCCUAGCACAGUGUUUCCCUACUCCAGUCCUCCAUCAGUAUACAUUUUUAUUGUAGCCCCAGACAAGCACAUCUGAUUCAACUUGUAAACUAAUCAUCAAGCCUUUGAGUUGAAUGAGGUGUGUUUGUCUGGGGGCUACAAUGAAAAUGUGUGCGGUUAGGGGUACUUGAAGACCGGAGUUGGUAAACAUUGAGGGAGUUCUAUUAACCUGAGCCACAGUGCACUGGUCUAUGACCCAUGGCGUGAAAGGGACAAAUCUGUGAGGGAGGAGUGCCCUUCUCAAAUCUAACAGUAAUUUGUGCCACUCUCAUGUUGUCGACAAGGCAGCAUGGUGCAUCUUUCAGAAAUAUUUUUUCCCUUAAAAUGUUAGAAUUUUCAAACUAGUUUUCAUUGUGAUUGCAGAUAAUGCGUUUUUAUCAAAAGCAAUCACUUUCACAUGUGAAAACACGGACCUACUCAUUACUCCAUGUGCUUAGUCUAGCCUACAGUAGGCAAUCUCUUUUAACCCGCUGCAAACUGCUCCCAGUGGGGAAACCCGGGCCAAUAAUCAAAUUCCUGCUCACAUUUUAAGCCCUAACAGAGGUGCUCGACCCUAAACACAUGUGGACUGACUACAGGUUAUAAAGAAGCAGAGGGCAUGAACUGCAAGGCGAAAGACAGACCAUAGUUAAAGGGAUACUUUGGGAUUUUGGCAAUGUGGCCUUUUAUGUACUUCCCCAGAGUCAGAUGAACUCAGCUGUUCAAAUAAUCCAUAAUGUAAAAAUAAGGGAAUUUUAUAUUAUUUUCAACAUAUCAUUCAUUUAUUUCAAAAGUGACAGUAGGUUUGCUGGGAUUGUGGCUGUGCAGAGACCACAGACAGUAGUAGCCUAAUGGAACAUAACAGGCUGCAUGGGAACGUGUUCAUGACUCAGCUUCUUGGUCGGCUACAAAUCAACCUUGCCAGGGAACAAUGGCAGCUUUUCAGUUGAUUUCAAUAUUUUUAAGAACUCUAAAUCAUCCAAAGGAAGAAAGAACAUGUCGAUAUCAUCUUGGAGGAAUCAAUUUAGUCCAAUAUAACGUAGACCUAGUCCAUUGCAAUGUGCACAAACCAUGUAUGGGAGAAGAAGAAAAAAAUAUCAUCUCAACAAUUCCUUCCCUCUUGACUUCCUCUU